Molecule: ribosomal RNA, 426 nt
Filed under: uncultured bacterium
Lineage: Bacteria
Description: bacterial SSU rRNA
Rfam family: Bacterial small subunit ribosomal RNA
Source: RNAcentral
UGGGGAAUUGUUCGCAAUGGGCGCAAGCCUGACGACGCAACGCCGCGUGGAGGAUGAAGACCUUCGGGUCGUAAACUCCUUUCGAUCGAGACGAACGGCCUUCGGGUCAAUAACCUGAGGGAGUGACGGUACCGAGAAAAGAAGCCCCGGCUAACUCCGUGCCAGCAGCCGCGGUAAUACGGGGGGGGCAAGCGUUGUUCGGAAUUACUGGGCGUAAAGGGCUCGUAGGUGGCCAACUAAGUCAGACGUGAAAUCCCCAGGCUUAACCUGGGAACUGCGUCUGAUACUGGCUGGCUUGAAUUCGGGAGAGGGAUGCAGAAUUCCAGGUGUAGCGGUGAAAUGCGUAGAUAUCUGGAGGAAUACCGGUGGCGAAGGCGGCAUCCUGGACCGAGAUUGACACUGAGGAGCGAAAGCUAGGGGAGCAAA